RNAcentral lists this ribosomal RNA (706 nucleotides) under Clostridium nitrophenolicum. RNAcentral describes it as "bacterial SSU rRNA". It matches the Rfam family "Bacterial small subunit ribosomal RNA", at positions 23 to 748 of the family's 1533-position model. Lineage: Bacteria; Bacillati; Bacillota; Clostridia; Eubacteriales; Clostridiaceae. The record is from RNAcentral.
CUCAGGACGAACGCUGGCGGCGUGCCUAACACAUGCAAGUCGAGCGAUGAAACCCUUCGGGGUGGAUUAGCGGCGGACGGGUGAGUAACACGUGGGUAACCUGCCUCAAAGAGGGGGAUAGCCUCCCGAAAGGGAGAUUAAUACCGCAUAACAUUAGUUUUUCGCAUGGAGAACUAAUUAAAGGAGUAAUCCGCUUUGAGAUGGACCCGCGGCGCAUUAGCUAGUUGGUGAGGUAAAGGCUCACCAAGGCGACGAUGCGUAGCCGACCUGAGAGGGUGAUCGGCCACAUUGGAACUGAGACACGGUCCAGACUCCUACGGGAGGCAGCAGUGGGGAAUAUUGCACAAUGGGCGAAAGCCUGAUGCAGCAACGCCGCGUGAGUGAUGAAGGCCUUCGGGUUGUAAAGCUCUGUCUUUUGGGACGAUAAUGACGGUACCAAAGGAGGAAGCCACGGCUAACUACGUGCCAGCAGCCGCGGUAAUACGUAGGUGGCGAGCGUUGUCCGGAUUUACUGGGCGUAAAGGAUGCGUAGGCGGAUUUUUAAGUGAGAUGUGAAAUACCCGGGCUUAACUUGGGUGCUGCAUUUCAAACUGGAAGUCUAGAGUGCGGGAGAGGAGAGUGGAAUUCCUAGUGUAGCGGUGAAAUGCGUAGAGAUUAGGAAGAACACCAGUGGCGAAGGCGACUCUCUGGACCGUAACUGACGCUG